GCACAUUUUCCAUCUUUGGAUGUGUCCAAGCCAAGGCAGGACAUAUUUCUGAUGGAUGUGCUCUAACUGCAGUUAAAAGCAUGAGUAACACUGCAGUCAAGUCUGAGAUAAGCAGAUAAGGUUUGAGGACUGUGGCAUACAAGAGGUCUGACUAACAGUUCCCAGAGGACCUACAGAAGAUCUAAUAAUUCCUAUCUAUCCUUAACCUCUAGGAGACUGAGAAAAAUAGCACUUAGCAGAAAGUGGAAGGGAAGAAUUGAAAUGACAGCCCCAUCACCGGCACACUAAUGUGCCUUCUGUUUCUAAGAGGACUGUAUCUUUCACCUGCUCAGCGCUUUAUUAUGUAUUUUCAACAAUGAUUUCUCUCCAGUCCACAAACCCUCUGUGCCCAUUGGUGUCAGUGUCUUUCGUCUGACUAGACUCAGGCUAACAGCAUGAGAUGGACAAAGUCCCAGCCUUAUUCUUCAAGCAAGUCAGAGCAGCCAUAGGUGUGUGGAAAGCCUCGUUUGGGGAAAUGCUGAAAUUUCUAGGCCAGACAUGAACUUAGCACUAGAAGCUGGAAGAGUUCUCAGACAGUAACACAACCGGUAAGUUGACAUAUUCCUUGAGGUUUUAACUCUUUUCUCUUCAAAAUGUGACAGCUACU
Molecule: long non-coding RNA, 646 nt
Filed under: Apteryx owenii (little spotted kiwi)
Lineage: Eukaryota; Metazoa; Chordata; Aves; Apterygiformes; Apterygidae
Description: lncRNA (ENSAOWG00000018527.1)
Source: RNAcentral